Molecule: ribosomal RNA, 253 nt
Filed under: uncultured bacterium
Lineage: Bacteria
Description: partial 16S ribosomal RNA
Rfam family: Bacterial small subunit ribosomal RNA
Source: RNAcentral
GACAGAGGUCCCAAGCGUUAGGCGGAAUCACUGGGCUUAAAGCGUGUGUAGGCGGAGUGCUAAGUACCUUGUAAAAUCCCACGGCUCACCCGUGGAACUGCUUGGUAUACUGGUUCUCUUGAGCCACCUAGGGGCGAGCGGAACAAGUGGUGGAGCGGUGAAAUGCGUAGAUAUCACUUGGAACGCCAAUGGUGAAAACAGCUCGCUGGGGGUGUGCUGACGCUGAGACACGAAAGCCAGGGGAGCGAACGGG